GUAUCGUGACGUGUGAUGAAUUGACGGAUAAGACCAUGGUUGUUCCAUAGCAAAGUGUGAAAUGUAGAUUGACUUGAAGUGAAGUGGGUAGAUCGGAUCAACACAACAAAGCACACUAUCCAGAUCAAUUCCGGUAGCUUUUGUUUUAUGUUUGAAGAUUUAUAUGGCAUGUAUAGAGUUUGAAUGAAUUGAAGUAAAGAUGUUAUAAACUAGUUAACAAUAUUUGUACUAAAAUAGUUUUCGGUAAGUAGCAGUAGUUUGACUUUGAAAAAUCACUAAAAAUAGUAGAAAUGGAAUUAAAUAAUGAAUAAAUUAUGGAAUCGAA
Gossypium arboreum is the source of this 325-nucleotide long non-coding RNA. RefSeq lists it as uncharacterized. The transcript is spliced from 2 exons. NCBI's taxonomy places the organism in Eukaryota, Viridiplantae, Streptophyta, Magnoliopsida, Malvales, Malvaceae. The record is from RefSeq and is a predicted model, not a curated record.